RNAcentral lists this ribosomal RNA (525 nucleotides) under uncultured bacterium. RNAcentral describes it as "partial 16S ribosomal RNA". The record is from RNAcentral.
AUUGGUACCUUGUACGACUUCCCCCAGUCGCUGAAUCCACUGUGGAAGGUAGCUACUUUAGCAUCCCCGCUUCGAAUGAGUUCAACUCCCAUGGUGUGACGGGCGGUGAGUACAAGACCCGGGAACGUAUUCACCGUAGCAUAGCUGAUCUACGAUUACUAGCGAUUCCAACUUCAUGUAGUCGAGUUGCAGACUACAAUCCGAACUGGGAGAUAUUUUUGAGAUUUGCUCCACGUCACCGUAUUGCUGCUCUUUGUAUAUCCCAUUGUAGCACGUGUGUAGCCCUGGACGUAAGGGCCAUGAUGACUUGACGUCGUCCUCACCUUCCUCCUACUUGCGUAGGCAGUCUCAUUAGAGUUCUCAGCCGAACUGUUAGCAACUAAUGACGAGGGUUGCGCUCGUUGCGGGACUUAACCCAACAUCUCACGACACGAGCUGACGACAGCCGUGCAGCACCUGUAUAUAAGGUUUCUGCAGCAGACACCAAUCUAUCUCUAGAAGGUCUUACUAUGUCAAGUCCAGGUA